AAGUCGUAACAAGGUUUCCGUAGGUGAACCUGCGGAAGGAUCAUUGAAUAACAUCCGUUGCAUCUGCAUCUGGUGAUUCCUCUCCUCAGCCCGCUCCCUGCGCUCCCCCUACGUGUCCCUAUAUACAGACGAAAACCACUUCGUCCGUCGGGGUGAUAUAUGGAGCAACGAGCGAUGUGGGGAGCCCUUGUGACUUCCCUGUCGCUGUGUUGUGGCGGCAGGCCUGGCGGGUGAUAACCCCGGCCAAAGUCCGCUUCUCUUUUUGAUUUCCGCAUUCGUGAUGAUUGGCUGAUGAACGGGAGGUUGUCUGGUUUUUCGCGCUUUUUGCGAUGCCAGGUACGCCCGAUUGAAAACUUUACACAACUUUUAACAAUGGAUCUCUUGGCUCUC
RNAcentral lists this unclassified non-coding RNA (390 nucleotides) under fungal sp. Its description in RNAcentral is "partial internal transcribed spacer region". The stretch from base 1 to 46 matches the Rfam family "Eukaryotic small subunit ribosomal RNA", at positions 1786 to 1831 of the family's 1831-position model. The record is from RNAcentral. Lineage: Eukaryota; Fungi.